CCACGCCUGCUGGCGCGGGAUCUCGGCCGAGGUAGUGGUUCUCGCGAUAUCCUCGCCCCCCGGCUGGUGACGCGAGACUUUCUGAGUAGGCGGGGAGAACUGAGUCUUGGUCUCGCUUCGCCCGAUUUGCACUCGGCGUGUGACAUAUCUUCGAGGAAAAGCAAAACAAACAUGGGAGAGUGGUGAACAGUGGAUAAGGGAAGAAAUCAUGUCAGUUUCUCAAUCUUAACUGGCUAAGGUGACUCUCCUCACUCUCCUUCAAUAAUCUCAAAGCUGAGUCCAGGAGUCCCCGAAAUUAAAGAGAAUGGAGUCAGAUGGUCAGCGUCAACUCAAGAAAGGAAGCCCGGA
Long non-coding RNA from Myotis myotis, 348 nucleotides. RefSeq lists it as uncharacterized. The record is from RefSeq and is a predicted model, not a curated record. NCBI's taxonomy places the organism in Eukaryota, Metazoa, Chordata, Mammalia, Chiroptera, Vespertilionidae. The transcript is spliced from 3 exons.